UCUUGAAUGAAUCUCAACAAUCUUAUCAUUAUCCCCUAACCCAAUAGAUGUAAUCAAUUCCAAUGAAUCUUCCAGUCCAUUUUCUUCAUAAACACCUAAAAUCCUCUCAUCAUCUUGCAAUGUACCUAACUUCCAUAACUGUCCUUCAAUAUCAUAUAAUCUUUUUCUUUCUUUUCUUUUAAAAUCAUCAACUUUCUUAUACAUAAUAUUUCCAUUCUCCAAUAUACCAAUAAAACUCGCAUCAAAGGCACCUUCAUCUCGCGAGAGUACCUCCUCUUUUGUACCUCCAUAAUCUCGCUUUACAAUGGUACCUCCCCAAAAUCCUUAAAUCCUUCAACAAUCUUUGGCAAUGGUUUCUCCCUCAACCUAUCUCGAUUCCAUUCAUGGUUAGGAGGUACUGUUAGAAUUUGUAUAGCUUUCCUCCCAUCCUCGC
RNAcentral lists this long non-coding RNA (433 nucleotides) under Physcomitrium patens. RNAcentral describes it as "long non-coding RNA (PPAT_LNC013378)". The record is from RNAcentral. Lineage: Eukaryota; Viridiplantae; Streptophyta; Bryopsida; Funariales; Funariaceae.